RNAcentral lists this ribosomal RNA (484 nucleotides) under uncultured bacterium. RNAcentral's name for it is "partial 16S ribosomal RNA". It matches the Rfam family "Bacterial small subunit ribosomal RNA", at positions 30 to 507 of the family's 1533-position model. The record is from RNAcentral.
AUUGAACGCUGGCGGCAGGCCUAACACAUGCAAGUCGAGCGGAUGAAGGGAGCUUGCUCCUGGAUUCAGCGGCGGACGGGUGAGUAAUGCCUAGGAAUCUGCCUGGUAGUGGGGGAUAACGUCCGGAAACGGGCGCUAAUACCGCAUACGUCCUGAGGGAGAAAGUGGGGGAUCUUCGGACCUCACGCUCUCAGAUGAGCCUAGGUCGGAUUAGCUAGUUGGUGGGGUAAAGGCCUACCAAGGCGACGAUCCGUAACUGGUCUGAGAGGAUGAUCAGUCACACUGGAACUGAGACACGGUCCAGACUCCUACGGGAGGCAGCAGUGGGGAAUAUUGGACAAUGGGCGAAAGCCUGAUCCAGCCAUGCCGCGUGUGUGAAGAAGGUCUUCGGAUUGUAAAGCACUUUAAGUUGGGAGGAAGGGCAGUAAGUUAAUACCUUGCUGUUUUGACGUUACCAAAAGAAUAAGCACCGGCUAACUUCGUG